GAUGAACGCUGGCGGCGUGCCUAAUACAUGCAAGUCGAGCGAACAGACGAGGAGCUUGCUCCUCUGACGUUAGCGGCGGACGGGUGAGUAACACGUGGAUAACCUACCUAUAAGACUGGGAUAACUUCGGGAAACCGGAGCUAAUACCGGAUAAUAUAUUGAACCGCAUGGUUCAAUAGUGAAAGACGGUUUUGCUGUCACUUAUAGAUGGAUCCGCGCCGCAUUAGCUAGUUGGUAAGGUAACGGCUUACCAAGGCAACGAUGCGUAGCCGACCUGAGAGGGUGAUCGGCCGCACUAGAACUGAGACACGGUUCAGACGCCUACGGGAAGCAGCAGUAGGGAAUCUUCCGCAAUGGGCGAAAGCCUGACGGAGCAACGCCGCGUGAGUGAUAAAGGUCUUCGGAUCGCAAAACUCUGUUAUUAGGGAAGAACAAAUGUGUAAGUAACUAUGCACGUCUUGACGGUACCUAAUCAGAAAGCCACGGCUAACUACGUG
Molecule: ribosomal RNA, 497 nt
Filed under: uncultured bacterium
Lineage: Bacteria
Description: partial 16S ribosomal RNA
Rfam family: Bacterial small subunit ribosomal RNA
Source: RNAcentral